This 440-nucleotide ribosomal RNA is filed under the name uncultured bacterium. RNAcentral's name for it is "partial 16S ribosomal RNA". It matches the Rfam family "Bacterial small subunit ribosomal RNA", at positions 338 to 795 of the family's 1533-position model. The record is from RNAcentral.
CCUACGGGGGGCAGCAGUGGGGGAUAUUGCACAAUGGGGGAAACCCUGAUGCAGCGACGCCGCGUGUAGGAAGACGGUCCUCUGGAUUGUAAACUACUGUCCCCAGGGACGAAGAUGACGGUACCUGGGGAGGACGCUCCGGCUAACUACGUGCCAGCAGCCGCGGUAAUACGUGGGGAGCGAGCGUUGUCCGGAAUUACUGGGUGUAAAGGGAGCGUAGGCGGGGAUGCAAGUUGGGUGUUAAAUCUACCGGCUCAACUGGUAGUCGCACUCAAAACUGCAGCUCUUGAGUGAAGUAGAGGCAGGCGGAAUGCCUAGUGUAGCGGUGAAAUGCGUAGAUAUUAGGAGGAACACCAGUGGCGAAGGCAGCUUACCAAACUACGACUGACGUUGAGGCACGAAAGCGUGGGGAGCAAACAGGAUUAGAUACCCCAGUAGUC